This 71-nucleotide transfer RNA is filed under the name Dibamus sp. TMT-2004a. RNAcentral describes it as "tRNA-Tyr". The record is from RNAcentral. Lineage: Eukaryota; Metazoa; Chordata; Lepidosauria; Squamata; Dibamidae.
GAAAGAAGGGGAAUUAAACCCCUCUUCACAGGGCUACAACCUGCCGCCUGCACACUCGGCCAUCUUACCUG